Molecule: ribosomal RNA, 440 nt
Filed under: uncultured bacterium
Lineage: Bacteria
Description: partial 16S ribosomal RNA
Rfam family: Bacterial small subunit ribosomal RNA
Source: RNAcentral
CCUACGGGAGGCAGCAGUAGGGAAUAUUGCUCAAUGGGGGAAACCCUGAAGCAGCAACGCCGCGUGGAGGAUGAAGGUUUUAGGAUUGUAAACUCCUUUUGUGAGAGAAGAUAAUGACGGUAUCUCACGAAUAAGCACCGGCUAACUCCGUGCCAGCAGCCGCGGUAAUACGGAGGGUGCAAGCGUUACUCGGAAUCACUGGGCGUAAAGAGUGCGCAGGCGGGCGUGUAAGUCAGAUGUGAAAUCCUGUAGCUUAACUACAGAACUGCAUUUGAAACUAUGAGUCUAGAGUGUGGGAGAGGUAGGUGGAAUUCUUGGUGUAGGGGUAAAAUGCGUAGAUAUCAAGAGGAAUACUCAUUGCGAAGGCGACCUACUGGAACAUUACUGACGCUCAUGCACGAAAGCGUGGGGAGCAAACAGGAUUAGAUACCCUUGUAGUC